Molecule: ribosomal RNA, 274 nt
Filed under: uncultured bacterium
Lineage: Bacteria
Description: partial 16S ribosomal RNA
Rfam family: Bacterial small subunit ribosomal RNA
Source: RNAcentral
AUACGUAUGGGGCAAGCGUUAUCCGGAUUCAUUGGGCGUAAAGCGCGUGUAGGCGGCUUGUUAAGUCAGAUGUGAAAACCGGGGGCUUAACCCGCGGCGUGCAUCUGAAACUGGCAGGCUCGAGUCUGGUAGAGGAAAGUGGAAUUCCUAGUGUAGCGGUGAAAUGCGCAGAUAUUAGGAGGAACACCAGUGGCGAAGGCGGCUUUCUGGGCCACGACUGACGCUGAGACGCGAAAGCUAGGGGAGCAAACAGGAUUAGAAACCCCAGUAGUCC